Molecule: non-coding RNA, 720 nt
Organism: Oncorhynchus mykiss (rainbow trout)
Lineage: Eukaryota; Metazoa; Chordata; Actinopteri; Salmoniformes; Salmonidae
Source: RefSeq, a predicted model, not a curated record
GUUGAGAAUCACUGGUCUAUGUCAUGGAAGAGCAGGUGUUCUCAAUGUUUUGUACACUCCGUGUAUUACCACGGCAGUUUCCAGAUAUGCAGGUUGGCAAGGCUUCUGAAGACACCAGGGGACAGCUUAUUGUCAUCUACUGUAGCAUCAGCACCUCAAGAGUUUGAAAUCGCAUGCCAUUAUCCUUUGCCCUAUUCAGUAGGAGUAAAUAUGAACAUAUUCCAGACACUUCUAGAAUUCAAAAAGUUACUUAAGUGUCUAUUGCCUAUCACUAUUAGCAGGUAUUCUGUUCAAAAGUGUAUGAAGAGAGAACACUUGGUAAAUUUCUUCUCUUUGUCAUCCUAUACUUCCACCCAGUGGAAUAUAAGGUACUACACCCAACUUUUACCAGAUAACAAAUCAAAAGAGCCACAUUUCUGAGCACUUGCACACCAGGAAGCCACUCGUUUCAUUCUAGUGGUUAAACCCUGUUGAGCAGGAAGGUUUAAUCUAUGACUGAGGGAACUAAACCAGAAAACGGCACUUACCUACAGUUUAAAAUCUACAAUAAAAACAAUGUGAUUCCAAUAUGAACAUGAACUCACAGCUGUGAGGGGUCAUAGCGAGGGGCAGCCUUGUUGGGAGGAAGGCCUGAAGCUGAUUUUGUUUGGCAUGUUAUUUUGGCAUUAAUACGUGUCACAUACAUUUGCAAACUAUGUAAAAAUAUAUAUUGAGUUAAUA